Molecule: ribosomal RNA, 484 nt
Filed under: uncultured bacterium
Lineage: Bacteria
Description: partial 16S ribosomal RNA
Rfam family: Bacterial small subunit ribosomal RNA
Source: RNAcentral
AUUGAACGCUGGCGGCAUGCUUUACACAUGCAAGUCGAACGGCAGCGCGGGCUUCGGCCUGGCGGCGCGUGGCGAACGGGUGAGUAAUGCAUCGGAACGUGCCCAGUAGUGGGGGAUAGCCCGGCGAAAGCCGGAUUAAUACCGCAUACGACCUGAGGGUGAAAGCGGGGGACCGAAAGGCCUCGCGCUAUUGGAGCGGCCGAUGUCGGUUUAGCUAGUUGGUGGGGUAAAGGGUUACCAAGGCGACGAUCCUUAGCUGGUCUGAGAGGACGACCAGCCACACUGGAACUGAGACACGGCCCAGACUCCUACGGGAGGCAGCAGUGGGGAAUUUUGGACAAUGGGGGCAACCCUGAUCCAGCCAUGCCGCGUGCGGGAAGAAGGCCUUCGGGUUGUAAACCGCUUUUGUUCGGGAAGAAAUCCUCUGGGCUAAUACCCCGGGGUGAUGACGGUACCGGAAGAAUAAGCACCGGCUAACUACGUG